UACACCUGUAUUCCAUACCGAACACAGAAGUUAAGCCUCUUAGCGCCGAUGGUACUUGGGUGGAGACGCCCUGGGAGAGUAGGACGCUGCCAGAU
RNAcentral lists this ribosomal RNA (95 nucleotides) under Keratinibaculum paraultunense. The record is from RNAcentral. Lineage: Bacteria; Bacillati; Bacillota; Tissierellia; Tissierellales; Tepidimicrobiaceae.